AAGAUCAUACUUUAUGGGAUCAAUUCUAUAGUGAGAUUGCCGGGUUUCUCGCCAAGAUUCUCGGAAUAUAUUCAACCACGAUGAGGUUUUUUCAGUGUGAUCCUCUGAGCGGGAAGCGGCCCUUUAAACGUUUUUCGUAAGAGCUUUGAUGACCGUUCUGCCGGUAUACCGUGUCUAGAGGAGGUUCACGCAGACUGAGUGGU
This is a small nucleolar RNA of Penaeus monodon (black tiger shrimp), 203 nucleotides long. RefSeq annotates it as small nucleolar RNA U3. The transcript has a single exon. NCBI's taxonomy places the organism in Eukaryota, Metazoa, Arthropoda, Malacostraca, Decapoda, Penaeidae. The record is from RefSeq and is a predicted model, not a curated record.